GGUUAAGCGACUAAGCGUACACGGUGGAUGCCCUGGCAGUCAGAGGCGAUGAAGGACGUGCUAAUCUGCGAUAAGCGUCGGUGAGGUGAUAUGAACCGUUAUAACCGGCGAUUUCCGAAUGGGGAAACCCAGUGUGUUUCGACACACUAUCAUUAACUGAAUCCAUAGGUUAAUGAGGCGAACCGGGGGAACUGAAACAUCUAAGUACCCCGAGGAAAAGAAAUCAACCGAGAUUCCCCCAGUAGCGGCGAGCGAACGGGGAGGAGCCCAGAGCCUGAAUCAGUGUGUGUGUUAGUGGAAGCGUCUGGAAAGGCGUGCGAUACAGGGUGACAGCCCCGUACACAAAAAUGCACAUAUUGUGAGCUCGAUGAGUAGGGCGGGACACGUGGUAUCCUGUCUGAAUAUGGGGGGACCAUCCUCCAAGGCUAAAUACUCCUGACUGACCGAUAGUGAACCAGUACCGUGAGGGAAAGGCGAAAAGAACCCCGGCGAGGGGAGUGAAAAAGAACCUGAAACCGUGUACGUACAAGCAGUGGGAGCCUCUUAAUG
Molecule: ribosomal RNA, 549 nt
Filed under: Escherichia coli
Lineage: Bacteria; Pseudomonadati; Pseudomonadota; Gammaproteobacteria; Enterobacterales; Enterobacteriaceae
Description: partial 23S ribosomal RNA
Rfam family: Bacterial large subunit ribosomal RNA
Source: RNAcentral